UGACGAGCAGGCAUUGGCUCCCGUUUGGGUUUUCCCUGCAGAGUAAGGCCAUUGAAUUUAUCUCAUUUAUACCUUGAGCACCAACACACACACAAUUCGUGAAGUGGAAAACCGAGGAGGACGUCCCUGUGGGCUGGAGUGGACAAGAUCCUAUCAUUUCCUUAAACUAAAAGCAACCCCAAGGAAGUACACAGCACCCGUUAAGUGCCGGGCAGUGCGCAUGUGCACACAGACACACAAGCCCUCUGAAGAGCCAUGGGAGGGGGUCCCUGUCACCUGCAUGAUUCGACCACAUGGAGCCCGCACUGCACCAGAGCACUCAGCCACGGCCUCCAGGGCCCUUAGCAAGAGGGAGGUGCACAGCGGGUUAGUCAUGUCCAGUGUGAAGACGUCGGCCAGCACCAGGAGACAGUCACAAACAGAAGACCCCAGAGAGGGACUGGAACCUCCUUCCACUGGCUCCUUUUCUGUUCCUGAGGAAGAGCCAUCAGCUCUGGCCCAGAACAAUCCGAGUUAAAAGGUGUGGACACGGAGAACGGAUAGGCUGAGUGUCGUGAGAUCCAGUGACUUUAGCAGAUACUGUCGACUAUUUAGCAGACAGUUUUGAAGGAUAAAAACGAGCCAGGACCUGCAAAGCUCCCUGGGUCUAGCUCCUGAAUUACAGGAGUAGAAUACAUGGAUCAUGUGUGCAUGUGUGUGUGAGCAUUUGUGUGAUAGCACAUGUGUGUGCAAGUUAACAGCCACUGAGAACAACAUGGGCUCAGCUCCCCAAGGUGAUUCGCCUAGGACCCUCCUGCAAUCUCCUAAGACCUGGUCUGCAUUCACACAGGCCUUCUAUCUAAAACCACACAUUCUACCCACUUGUGCUCUCUCUGCAGCGGGUAAAGCUGAGCUCUCCACAAUGUAAAUCUUCACAGUACAGAAUUUGGGUAGAAUUUAAGGUAUUUUAGUGUCACAAGCAAUAUUCCCUAACUUUAAAAGGGGAAAGAUAUUGAAUAUGACAUUCAGAUAAAGAAUUCUUGGGACUCAUUGGGUUUGUUGUUUCUAAUGAUCCUUGGGGAGCAAGCUGUGACUCUAAACCUUUUAAUAUAUAUAUAUUUUUUGUAUUAAGGAUUGAACCCAGGGGCGCUUAACCACUGAGCCACAUCUCCAGCCCUUUUCGCUUUGGAUAUUGAGACUCAGUCUUCCUAAGUUGCUUAGGGCCUCACUGAGUUGCUGAGUCUAGCCUUGAACUUUCAGUCCUCCUGCCUCAGCCUCCUGAGUCACUGGGAUUACAGGUGUGCGCCACUGCCCAGCAUCAUAAUUUUUUCCAUGAAAUAUGCCUAAGGAAACUAUUUGGUCAUUAGCAGUAAAACAGAACAAAAUAAAAACAAAACAAAACCAAACCUCUAUCUGCAUACAGACUUCACAGGAGGUACACAGCAAUCCUAAGUAAAGAUAAAAUUCCAUUUAGAAUAUCCCAUCAGACCAUGAGACGGGUGUGUGGUAAGCUCUUCUCCGUCACAGCCCUGAGGACGUGUAUCGUGUGGUUUCUCAAGGUCUGAAACCAUAUUCCUUGCCUGUGUCAGGGAUGUCAUUGAAGGCCCCAAACGAUGCUCCUCCAGGCACUCAGGAGAGGUCUGAGGGUCCGCAUGCCGUGGUGAGAGUACAGUGCUGCAGGACCUGGUGCACAGAUGGGGCAGUGAUCAAGAAGCUGUUGGGAUAAAAAGAGGUUUCGUUCCUUGCCUUCCCCCGUGAGACUGGCAUGGUGUGUUUUCAUCAUGUUCUUUGAAGUGAAUUCCUAGAAUCAAGACGUUUUUCAAGACGUUUAGAAGUGGGGGGUCCCAGCUCUAAUUGCACUUUUCCAUAGACCAUGGUCAGCAGGUCACAUUCUGAUGACCUCACGUACCCCUCAGGAGACCCGUAUCGAGUGCAUGCUGUAUUCCAGGAGGGCUGCCUGUUGAAAUUGUAUUAUCUCAGAAUGUUCCUGAACAUUCAUGCAGGUACAGAAAUCUUUCUGAAGCAACGGCUUGUGUGGAUGUGCAGAAAUUGGAACCCCUGUCCUUCAUGGGUGGGACUGUAAAAUGGUGCAGCCACUUUGGAAAAGAGUUGAUAAUUCCUCCAAAUGUCAGGCCCAGAGUUACCGUGUGACCAGUAAUUCUACAGCUAGAUUUAUGCUCAUGAGAAUUGAAAAUGGUGUCUACAUCAAAAUCUGCACACAAAUGUUCUUAUCAGCUUUAUAAUAACCAAAUUGGGAGUAACUCAAAUGUUCAUCAGCAGAUGGAUGGAUAAACAAAACACAGUGUGUUUGUGCAAUAGAAUGCUUAUUGGAUAUUUUGUGAAAGGGUGCAAUUCUGUUUCAUGUUCCAGUAGGGACGAACCUUGACAUUAUUAUGCUAUGUGAAAGAAGGAACAACAAGCGGCCACAAAUUGUGCUUCUGUUUAUAUCCCAAUGCCCAGGAUACACAAAUCCAAAGGCAGAAAGUCAAUUAGUUGUUGCUGAGAGAAUGAGGGUGUGGAGGGAAACGAGGGUGAUCUGUGGAUGUGUUUUGUUUGGGGAUGAUAAUAGAGAGUGGCAAUGGCUUUACAAUUCUGUGAUUAAGCUAAAGUGACUGAAUUGCACACUUUAAAGCAAUAAAUCUUAUGGUAUGUGAAUUAUAUUUAAUGAAGUUUUUACCGAGCUCUUAGGUUGUUCAAACCUUUGUCCCAUAAGUGAUCAAGAUUGAACUUGUUGUUUUGAGAUGUUUUUAGCCUUUAGAUUAAAAUAAAGCAAAAUUUUAA
This is a long non-coding RNA of Marmota monax (woodchuck), 2760 nucleotides long. RefSeq lists it as uncharacterized. The record is from RefSeq and is a predicted model, not a curated record. Lineage: Eukaryota; Metazoa; Chordata; Mammalia; Rodentia; Sciuridae. The transcript has 3 exons.